AACUUACUCUGUAUGACUCGGCGGAUAUUCGUCUACCUCAGCGAGACCCUACCCUGUUAGGAGCUUUGGGAGGAAACGCAGUUCGCCUUCCACAGGCGAUAACCUUGCCCCGUGGACGUGCGGUUUACCCGUACGGAUGUCACCUAUAUUCUAUUUAUUAUGAUAUUCUGAAUAUAUAACUAAAUAAGUUAAAACUUUCAACAACGGAUCUCUUGGUUCUGGCAUCGAUGAAGAACGCAGCGAAAUGCGAUAAGUAAUGUGAAUUGCAGAAUUCAGUGAAUCAUCGAAUCUUUGAACGCACAUUGCGCCCAUUAGUAUUCUAGUGGGCAUGCCUGUUCGAGCGUCAUUUCAACCCUUAAGCCCCUGUUGCUUAGCGUUGGGAGCCUACAGCCUGCUGUAGUUCCUCAAAGUUAGUGGCGGAGUCAGUUCACACUCUAGACGUAGUAAAAUCUUUAUCUCGCCUAUAGAUGAGCUGGCGCCUUGCCAUAAAAACACCUAAUCUUUUACAAGGUUGACCUCGGAUCAGGUAGGAAUACCCGCUGAACUUAAGCAUAUCAAUAAG
This 562-nucleotide ribosomal RNA is filed under the name fungal endophyte sp. C3-2B9-3. RNAcentral describes it as "eukaryotic LSU rRNA". The stretch from base 193 to 346 matches the Rfam family "5.8S ribosomal RNA". Lineage: Eukaryota; Fungi. The record is from RNAcentral.